GAGAGGAGCAUGAGAGCAAGAGAACAGUUACCAGGGAGCUUUUUCUCUGGGUCUCACUGGGAGAACUUCACUCCAUGUCCCUGCCUGCAAGUCAAUGGAGCAGCAGCAGCAACCCAGGCAGAGUAAGCAAGGGACUCUGUAGCCGCAGACUCGCUGGCUGUCCCCCUUAGUACCAACACAGCUGUCUAAAAAGACUUGGCCAGGGAGAAAAAAGGAAAUGGCAAGUGGGAGUGGCCCCUAUCUCCAGCGCUUCCUUCUCCCAGCUGCACGGAGACCUUAUCUGUAUCCUAUUCUGCAGCUGUGUUUGCUGCUGGCCUGCUCACGUUCUCUGCAGCAUGGACAGCGGAUUCACAUGCUGGUGGCUGCAGACAGGUUUUACUCCUGUUCUCUAAGCUGUUCGGAAGCAGGUCAGAAAUAUCCUGUCGCUAGCAGUGUCCCCUCACGGGAGAGAUGCAGCCAUGACGCAGAGCAGCGUGCGAACGGGGAGUGGGGGCAAGAGACAGGCAACAUUAUUGCCUCCAGCUAGAGGCAUUGGAAAAUAAACAAGAACAAAUGCUUCCAAGUUCAGCUCUGCUGCUGCUCCAGCUGCACAACGUUCCCGGCAGCCUGGUGCCUCCGAAUCCACUUUCAGGGCAGUUUUCUAUGAAGUGGUCUUGGAGGACAGAGGUUGGAAGCUACAGUCUCCGCGUGCCCCCAAUCUAACCCUCGCCGUUGGUCUCACCUCAAUGCGUCCCGACGAGCUGCAUGUCUUCAAGCCCUCGGUUCCUCGGCUCUGCGGAGCAGGGUCCCCGAGCUGGGUGACACCAGAGCAGCAGUGAGCUCAGUCAUCAGGGAAGAGGAAACCACUACUCCCCGCAGUGCUCUGCUGAGGGCGUGAGAUAAAGUCCCCCUGCCCUUCCUGGAGCGCUAGGCAGGCAAAGAAUGCAAAUCGUGCAUAAACAAAAAUCUCCACUGACCAGUUCCUGGAACAGCCCCUCCAGCCUGGGCUAUGCCAGGGAAAGGGGCAAGGUGCAGUAUCUGGCCCUGCUCUCCUCCCCGCUGCUUCUGCUGCACUUUUCUCUGCAGCAUUUGAACACCGUGUAUUCCCCCGAAGAGAGAGCUCACUGCUGCCUGCACCCCUGGCCACAUCCUGCUCUCUGCAGACACACGGGCCAGGCUGCCGUGGGACUGCACGAAACUGCACCCUCAAGGCGCAGUCUGCUCUAAAUAUGAACGCACUCGCUGUGCCAGGGCUGCCCGGCUCUCAGGAACAGCCCCAGCCUUGGUCUCCUCACCCCUGCCCCUCACGCUGAGCUGGGCUGCUCGCCUCUCUGCGCGAAGGGCCCCUUGCGCUAGGCAGGAAGCUAGAGCUCUCGCAGAACGCGGCUACCUGCCUGUUCGAAGGACUCAGCCCCAGGGGACUAUUAACAUCAGUUCUCCAGGAACAUCGCUGGCUUCCUCUUUGCUUGCAGGGGUUCGCUUUGGUAGAGAGCCCCAGGCCAUUGGCAGGUGGUGUUCUGCAUGCUGCCGCAGGGGCGCGGGGCGCGGGGCUUUCGGGAAGUUUAGCUGUUCCUCAGCAUCCUGAGUGUGGGGGCUGGGCACCCCACUGGCACAUUCAGCAGUGCGGAGGCUCCCCACAGCACUGAGGGGGGAAGUUAGGGUAUCCAGGCACCAGUCACACCACGGCACACUCGGGAACCCCGCUCCACACUGGGGGUAGGAGACCGAGGGAGAAAGGAUCAGCUGGGCAGUGAGAAGGAACGCACAGCAGCUGGGGCCCAGGGGAAGGGCGAGAAAGGGGCGGGCGCAUCCAGGUUUUGCAGCUCCCGACAGGAGGUGUACGUGACAUGCACUGCAGCACCACACCCCACAUGCCAUGGGGACAGCGCACAAAGUAACGGAGGGAGAGGACGAGGAGGUGAGGCUGCCCCUGACUCAGAGACAAAGAACAGGCCAAUACUUUCCGAACAAAACUAGGAGAGGAGGAAGAGCUCCCUUGGCCUCACUGAGGUGCAGAUCUGCCAGCAGCACAGGCUCACCCCAGAACCCUGGGGAAGCUGAAUGGGAACCUGGAAAUGACGACACAUUAGCCAUGCCCUGCCAGGGUCACCACCAU
This is a long non-coding RNA of Chrysemys picta bellii (western painted turtle), 2095 nucleotides long. RefSeq lists it as uncharacterized. The record is from RefSeq and is a predicted model, not a curated record. Lineage: Eukaryota; Metazoa; Chordata; Testudines; Emydidae.